CCUGGGGCUACCCUGGAAGCCACUAAAAGAAACUUUCCAGUAAAUGGAGAACGAUUGGACGGGUAGCUUGGAAUAUAGGUCAACUAGGAAGAGACGAGCUCUUGGAUAUGCACUAGACAGACUGUUUAUAUUCUAGUAAGAAAAAUGGAUUGGAUGGGGUUCAGAAAUUAUGAUACAGGAGAGUGAUAGAAUAUCACUGUGUUGUAAGAAAUGAUGAAUAUGAUGAGUACAGAGAAACAUAGGAAGAAUUGUAUGAACUGAUGCGGAGUGAAGCAACCCAUGGUGACCACGACAAGGGAGACGGAAAAAUACCAGCAAAUCAUUAAAAACAAAAUGCUUCAAAAUCAUUAAAACUAAGCUUGGUCUGAAAGAAGAGAUCUAAGAAGUAUCUAAUCCCUAGCUUCUUUGCAGAGGUUGGAGGUGGGUGUGAAACAACGCAGAGUAUCACAUUUUGAUGUGUAGCUGGUUUUGCUGAUGUUUUU
Long non-coding RNA from Vombatus ursinus (common wombat), 482 nucleotides. RefSeq lists it as uncharacterized. The transcript is spliced from 3 exons. Lineage: Eukaryota; Metazoa; Chordata; Mammalia; Diprotodontia; Vombatidae. The record is from RefSeq and is a predicted model, not a curated record.